Molecule: transfer RNA, 76 nt
Filed under: Pseudomonas sp. PA15(2017)
Lineage: Bacteria; Pseudomonadati; Pseudomonadota; Gammaproteobacteria; Pseudomonadales; Pseudomonadaceae
Description: tRNA-Ile
Rfam family: tRNA
About the family: Transfer RNA (tRNA) molecules are approximately 80 nucleotides in length.
Source: RNAcentral
CGCGGGGUGAACAGUCCGGUAGCUCGUCGGGCUUAUAACCCGAAGGCCGUUGGCUUAAGUCCAUCCCCCGCAGCCA